GCUAUUGAAGCUCCUUCUACAAAUGGAUAA
This 30-nucleotide transfer RNA is filed under the name Acer palmatum. RNAcentral describes it as "partial tRNA-His". Lineage: Eukaryota; Viridiplantae; Streptophyta; Magnoliopsida; Sapindales; Sapindaceae. The record is from RNAcentral. RNAcentral also lists the same sequence under 4 other names.